This 729-nucleotide ribosomal RNA is filed under the name bacterium enrichment culture clone SB3-69. RNAcentral describes it as "bacterial SSU rRNA". It matches the Rfam family "Bacterial small subunit ribosomal RNA", at positions 28 to 774 of the family's 1533-position model. The record is from RNAcentral.
GAUGAACGUUGGCGGCGUGCCUAAUACAUGCAAGUCGAACGGAGAUUGUAGCAAUACGGUCUCAGUGGCGAACGGGUGAGUAACGCGUUGGUGACCUGCCCCGAAGUGUGGAAUAACAGAUCGAAAGAGCUGCUAAUACCGCAUAAUAUCCAGAGGACUAGAUGCCUUUGGAUUAAAGGAUUUAUUCGCUUCGGGAGGGGCCUGCGUCCCAUCAGCUAGUUGGUAAGGUAAAGGCUUACCAAGGCUAUGACGGGUAGGGGACCUGAGAGGGUGGCCCCCCACAAUGGAACUGAAACACGGUCCAUACACCUACGGGUGGCAGCAGUAGGGAAUAUUAGUAAUGGGCGAAAGCCUGAACUAGCAACGCCGCGUGUGCGAAGAAGGCCUUCGGGUUGUAAAGCACUUUUUGAGAGGAUGAGGAAGGACGGUACUCUCAGAAUAAGUCUCGGCUAACUACGUGCCAGCAGCCGCGGUAACACGUAGGAGGCGAACGUUAUCCGGAUUUACUGGGCGUAAAGCGCGUGUAGGUGGUUUGGUAAGUAGGGCGUGAAAGCUCCUGGCUCAACUGGGAGAGGCCGUUCUAAACUGCCGAACUAGAGGAUGGUAGAGGGAGGGUGGAAUUCCGGGUGUAGCGGGUGGAAUGCGCAGAUAUCCGGAGGAACACCAGUGGCGAAAGCGGCCUCCUGGACCACUCCUGACACUCAGACGCGAAAGCUAGGGUAGCAAACG